RNAcentral lists this ribosomal RNA (362 nucleotides) under uncultured Dehalobacterium sp. RNAcentral's name for it is "bacterial SSU rRNA". It matches the Rfam family "Bacterial small subunit ribosomal RNA", at positions 1 to 339 of the family's 1533-position model. Lineage: Bacteria; Bacillati; Bacillota; Clostridia; Eubacteriales; Peptococcaceae. The record is from RNAcentral.
AGUAGUUUGAUCCUGGCUCAGGACGAACGCUGGCGGCGUGCUUAACACAUGCAAGUCGAACGGACCUCUUUAUUUGAAGCCUUCGGGCAGAUUAUUCUGAGGUUAGUGGCGGACGGGUGAGUAACGCGUGGGUAACCUGCCCCGUACACGGGGACAACAGUUGGAAACGACUGCUAAUACCGGAUAAUAUCCCAGGGAGGCAUCUUUUUGGGAUGAAAGGUGGCCUAGACAAUGCUACCGAUAUGGGAUGGACCCGCGUCUGAUUAGAUAGUUGGCGAGGUAACGGCUCACCAAGUCGACGAUCAGUAGCCGGCCUGAGAGGGCGGCCGGCCACAUUGGGACUGAGACACGGCCCAGACUCC